GCUGCACGGUCAUCUCGCCCCGCGACGGAACACCCAAAACGAGCGCGCCCCGCUAUGUCUCGGCCGACCAGGUGGCACCUGGCGCUCACGGACGCACGAUCCGCGCGCAUCGAGCGGUCGAGCAACGGCCGCUCCGUUUCGUCAGAUAGUGCACGCGCACGAUGGAGCGUCCAGGACAUAAAUUAGGGUUCGACGUGGGGCCGGAGCUCAAUCGCCGGCGGAGAUGCUGGAUGAGAACCCGGCAUGGACGGGACAGAAGAGGCGCAAGUACGAAGCCCCAUCUCUUACGUCAUCCUCUGAUGCUUAUGGAGAGGCGAUUGGCCAGGACAACGCAGAACGUCCCAAUGAGAUCGCGGAUUCACCAGAUGAGCUGGCGGACCUGGAAAAUGAUGUCAUCAGCGAGGAGGAGUUCGGCGGAUGCCUUAAGGUUUUAGCCACCAGGCGUGCUCCUAUGAUCAUCACAGGGCGCAGGCUGGACGAGGAACAUCAACGCGAGCUCUACGAGCGCCUCACUCUCUACCGCAUCAAAGCUUCCAAGUUGGCACAAGGUUGUUUGCAUAGAUGAUCAGAACGAUGUGCCUUUGAGAAAGGAGUACUCCUCAGACAAUCUGGAGGACCUGUUUGAUUACUACAAGAAAGCUGACUCUGUGGAUUGGUACUUUGACCGUGGCUACUGUUUGCUCGCUGACUUGGAUGACUACCAGAGCCUUGUCCUUACUCCUUACCAAUGGAGAUGAUGGUAGAAGGUUCUGCGAUUGGGAAACAUACCGCUCAUUUUUUACUAGCUAUGAAAUUGAUGAAGAGUAUGUAAAGCUCUUUGAAGAAAUAUCAAAGAAAAUCAAGUGGCUUAAAACGUUAUAUGGAAUAUGAACGAGCAUCUUCCAAGUGGAAGGAGAUGGAUGAUAGAGGAUUCUGCCAAGCAGCGAAGAUUGCAGCAGGCUUUCCGCGCAUGAGCUAUAAGUUAACUUUAAUGGCCUAUGAGGAGAAUGUGUGGAAUCUGAUGUUUGAUUAUUGGCAACGUGAAGACAUUGAUCGUCUCUUUUUUGAGAUUUGGAAGUUUGCUACUAAGAAAAUGGGUGCCACUGAUAAGAAGGUUGAUUUUAGAGCUGGUUUGGUUGACGUCCCGAAGGAAUAUAUUCCCUCGAUAUAGAAAGAGAAUGCAAUUUGCACUGGAUCAUAGUAGUCUUUCUGAUUUGGAGUCAAAUUUUGAUACCUGCGUGGAAGACAUCCCUGAUGAUGUAAGUUUGGUGUAUAGUGGCCAUGUAUUUGCAGUGGUAAGGCAACAUUUCUUAAUCACAUCAAUGACACAAACACUGUUGUUUUUUUAGGCUACAGAGGAUGGAGCAUGGCGGUUGAUUACAUCGGCGGUUUGGAAUAAGCUUCAUAAACCCAAGAUGUGGCACCAAUAUAUUAUGAGGAAGAUGGAGAUUGCUAAACACAUUGGCUUGGGUCCACAAAAUUGACAUGUCUCGGAACCCAAGACACUUACAGACGUAGACAACUGUUCCUUGUGAAAUCUUGUCAGUUGCUCACUUGCAAAAUAAUGAUGUAUCCGUUGUAUUGCAUAUAUUGAUGUUAGACCGGUGCUGUUGUUGCCGUGGUAAAUUAAUAUGCUAUCAUGGUUAAAAAAUGUUUGCAAACUUUUCUAUGAUUACUUUAUUAGGUCUACAAUAGUUAUGGAACGCCUCAUCGUUUACCUUAUUUCAGUUUUCAACACUAUGGUGUCGAAGGCUUUGCAGUAAAGAGAUGAUAGUAUGACGUUUACCUUGUUUAAGUUUUCGACACUAUGGUGUCGAAGGGUAUGCAGUAAGAGAUGAUAGUAUGACACGGAGUAUCUGAGCUCGAGCUCAAAUGAGCUUGGAUGAACACUAAAAUCAAAAAAUAAUCAAAAAAAUCAUCAUGAGAUCACAUUCAUGGAAGGCUUGACAAAAAAAUCGAUGCUCCGAAAAUGCUACUAUCAAAAGCAUUUUGAAGCACUAAUUUUGUUUUUUUACCACGCCUUUCACCAAUGUGAUCAUGAAAAUUUGCAAGCACUUAGAACAUUUUUCAAAGUCUACCACAAAAAAAUUACAGAUUU
Aegilops tauschii subsp. strangulata is the source of this 2077-nucleotide non-coding RNA. NCBI's taxonomy places the organism in Eukaryota, Viridiplantae, Streptophyta, Magnoliopsida, Poales, Poaceae. The record is from RefSeq and is a predicted model, not a curated record.